UGCUGCUCUCUGAGGCUGUGGGUGCUU
This 27-nucleotide non-coding RNA is filed under the name Homo sapiens (human). The record is from RNAcentral. Lineage: Eukaryota; Metazoa; Chordata; Mammalia; Primates; Hominidae.